AUGCCUUGCUAAUGAUGAGGCCUGUGCUGGUAGGGACAGUGAUGAUGAAUGCCAAGAGCUCUGAUGGUGCUGC
Cavia porcellus (domestic guinea pig) is the source of this 73-nucleotide small nucleolar RNA. Ensembl annotates it as small nucleolar RNA SNORD74. NCBI's taxonomy places the organism in Eukaryota, Metazoa, Chordata, Mammalia, Rodentia, Caviidae. The record is from Ensembl.